Molecule: long non-coding RNA, 728 nt
Filed under: Marmota monax (woodchuck)
Lineage: Eukaryota; Metazoa; Chordata; Mammalia; Rodentia; Sciuridae
Source: RNAcentral
CAUGCAUGCCAGGCGAGCGCGCUACCACUUGAGCCAUAUCCCCAGCCCUAGUGUUGGAUAUUCUUUACCUAACAAAAUGCUUGGUAUCAAGAGGCUGUUGGUGGCUGGAAGGUAAAUGAAUGUCCCUUUGUGUGAUCCAAAUUUGAGGAGGAAAUGCCCUUUCCAGUCCUUGGUGAUUGUGCUUGGCCUUCCUCUUCUCAGGCUGGUUUUGUUUCCAGACACUUUAACUCCAUUUGACUCCAGGUUCCACCACCUUUCUGACCACAAGUCCUUCAGGCCUAACCUAUCUUGUGUUUCUCUAGCUCUCAUGUUGUAGUGUGUAAGCAAUACUUUUAGGUCUCUAACACUAAGAAUCUGAACUCGAUUUUUCAUUGUUUCAGCCCAUCAACCAGCCUGGUGGUUACUUGCUUUCAUUUGUCGUACUUCAGCUCUCAUCUCUGAUGAGACAUCCAGGGAGCCAUUCACUUGAUUUACAAAUUCAUUUCCUAAUACAUAUAGUGCUGUAGGCCACAUAUCAUACUAUGUGCUAGAGAUAACAAAUGGAAACAGUCACCAUCUCCAAGGAUCUCAUAGUCCCCUGUGUAGGAGGAAGGCAAAUGGAUAAAUACAAUGAAAUGAAAUCCUUGAGUAAUUAUUUUAGUGUACAAUGGGAGCCCCAACAGAGAGCUGCUGGCUGGGGACAAUAGGAAGACCUAAGGGUGUUAGAAGGUUAUUGGAGAGCAGUGCCA